Long non-coding RNA from Andrographis paniculata, 3191 nucleotides. RefSeq lists it as uncharacterized. The transcript is spliced from 5 exons. The record is from RefSeq and is a predicted model, not a curated record. Lineage: Eukaryota; Viridiplantae; Streptophyta; Magnoliopsida; Lamiales; Acanthaceae.
ACAUGCCUCUUUCUCUAGUCUCUCUCUCUGCUUAUACAUACAUGUAUCUACAGGUCUGUCUCUGUGAGUGAGUGAGAUUGAGAGUGACAGCAUGCAAUCUACAAGUGUCGUUGAGAAGUUGUUCCUAUUCACUGACUGACUGAUUCAUUUCAUUUCAUGCCAAAUUUUAUCUAAAAAGUUUAUUUAUAUUUUACAUAAUUAUAAAAUAUUGAUUGGUUAUUGGCGGGAAGAGAAAAAGGAAAUUAAAUUAGAAAAUCCAAAAUUCAAAUUCCAAUGUAAGUAAAACUGGGAAAUGAGUUAUUGGCUAUGAUAUUUACAUAUACAUAUGGCUCACGAGCUAUUGAUUGGUUUAUAUCUCAAUAUCAUUACCAAUAACGUCUCACUUUUAUUGGAAUUUGAAGUUUGGACUUUCCAAUUCAAUUUCCCUCUGUCUCUUCCCACCAAUAACAAAUAAUCUUAAUCCAAAUUAAAAAACAAAAAUUUUUAUACUGUAUGCAUGUACAUUUUAUGUACGUAUUUACUCUCUAACAUCUUUCAAGAAUCAUGGAAAAUUAAAGGUCACAUUUCAAGCAGUUAGUGGUCCUCUCCUCCAUCAAACUAUCACAACACAACUGGGAAAUUUCCUUUUGUUCUUUCUUUCUUUCUUUUUAGUUUCACACAAUUUUCUGGGUCACCCUAAAAAAAUCAUCAUAUGAAAAAGUUCUUUUGAUAAGUUUUUUUUUUUUGAUGGGAUUCGAUUUCCUCAAAAGCCAUUCACUUAUUAUGAUUGUGUCUUCAACUUCCACAAUUUUUUGCUCUACUUUUUAGCUUGAAUUCCUACCGAAAAUAGGUCCACACUUUUAGUUGGUCCAUCCCAUUUUAGGCCAAGAAAGAGAAUAUAUUCUCAGCAUAUUGAAUUUGUUUGAUAUACCACUUCAACAUACGUGUGACUAAGGUGUGAUAUUUCAAACCAUGCCCAUGAGUUAUUUUUGUUUUCUUCCCAAACUACAUAUUAUAAUAGCAUAUGUUGCACUAAUUCAACAUGUAUCAAUUCAAACAAACAAACAACCCUAUUAUUACACUAUUUAUUUAUUUUUUUUUUAAAAUAAGAAUUGUCAGUGAUCUUAUUGUUUUUGUAAUGGGCCCAUCUAGGCCCAAUAAGGUUUAAUUUUGGGCCAGAUGAAGCCCAAUUGUUAUUUCACACGUGUGCUACGGUCUUUCUAGAACGGAAAAACUAUUGAUGAGAUCGUACAUGUUUUGGUGUUCAUGUCUCUGCAUAUUUGAUCUGGCUUUGGGAAAAUAUCGUCUUUUGUUGCAUAUUAUCGUCUUUUGUUUUGGUGUUCAUGUCUCUGCAUAUUAUUCUUGUUUUCUUCUGAAUUGAUGUCAUUCCGAAUGAGUAUUUUGAUUCUCAUUUGAUCUUUUCUUGGCAUAUCUUAUGGAAUAUAGAACAUUUUGGGACCAUGAAUUGAUCGGAGGUAGAAAAGUGAAAUUCUGCAGUUCCUUUAUUGGUUUUUUUUGUGUUACUGUUGAGUUGCGUGGUGGACGUGGAUGAUCAUCUAAUGUUGCAUAGGCAAAAUUGGCCUUUAAUGGAAAUAACUAUCUUGCUCGCUGGCUUGGAAAUUUUCUCGGAUUAUCUUUCGGGUGUUAAUGUGAAAUGAUAUUUGAAUCAUGUUGUUAUUUUGGCUAUUUGCAAAGUGUGUUUGUCUGUGUUUUGGGUGUUUAGGAAUUGAAAUAGGUUUGGAUGGGAUGUUCUAAAUGGGGUGAAAACGUAAGCAAGCAUACCUGGAUAUGAAUUCUUCCUAAGUUCUUGGUAAUAUAGACAAUGUCAAGUGAAAAAAUUCCAAAGGAGUUCUUCAUCUGGAGCUUCAAAUCCAGCCAUGACUUCAUGUAGUAAAAAGAAAAAUGAAGAAGCAACAUUUAUGGAAGAUCUGAGGGAUCACAUUGAUGAAUUUAUUCAUGCUUCCACGGAGGAACACAAAACUUACUUCCAGAAGACUAUCAAGAAGAUGUUUGGGAUGUCAAAAGUUGUUGCAGAAAGAAAUAUGGUGAACAGAGAAGUGGAAAGCUUUUUGCCCCUCAGAACAACCGUGGCUGAGUAAGGGGUCCUCCCGCCAAUAGCCCUCGCUACAUUCACCCAACGGUCUGGGGUGUCCUUGUCGAACACCGCCAGUGCCAUCUCAAAGGCUUUGUUUUCCGCAGCUGACCAAGACCUCAUCGAGCUAGACGCCAUUUCCAACACUAAAUGCUGGAGGGAGUCGCUUUACUGAAAAAAAAAAAUAUUGAGGGGUCUAGCAAGACUGAGGUCAAGAACUGUCAGCUGAGGAUGGUGUAGAAAACAGUGGGAAUUGUGAAGUAUUUAUAGGCUCCAAGGGUAGACAUGGGGUUCGAAGUUGUGCUGCUGGUCAUGCCAGUUGCCCUUUUCGUAUGAACUAGCAAGAUAUGAGGAAUUCUGGUGAUUUGUCUCCCUAAGAACCACAUCUGGAGUGGGACAAAAGGCAAGUUACUACUACCUUGAAGAAUCUCUCGACCGGCAUAUGAAAUUGGUAUACAACAUUUACCUCCAUCAUUUGCUGUUCUUGUAUAAAUCACAAUUUGGGAGAUUCCUCCUUCUAUCAUGUAGUGGUAAAUGCUCCAUAUCAACUGACUAUACCGUGGAAGGACCAACCAGAAGAAUCUCUACAAAGUUCAGAAUCUGUGGCUUGGCUGGUUGGAUCAACUUUGUCGAAAGGUGAUUAGUGGUUGGGAUGGAAUCUUGAAAGGAGUUGAUGGAAGAUAAGGUUUUUCAUCACCCUGGACCAAGCUACUCUUUCCUUGGUAAUAUCCACCACUUUGAACUUAACUUGAUUCUUGACUGUAAUAACAAUAAUUUACAGAUGCAGCAGCUCCUCAAUGAAGAGGUAAGAGUGUGAUGCAAUUGAUUCUAUCUAGUGUCAAGUGGAGCAGAGCUGAGAGUUUUGUGUGAAGAAAAAGAAAUGGUCCUUGGGGCCAUUACAGGAUUCUCAUUCUCAUUUUUGUUAGGUCAUUCAUUCUCAUUCUGAUAUUUUUUAUUGAGAAUUUUAAAAGGCAAAAAUUGGAUUUUGAGAAUAGAUUGUUUAAUUAGUUGUUGGUUAGUUAUGCAAAUGCAUGCAUUUCGUGUUGGGUUGUUAAAAAUCGAUGAGGAUGGGGAACUAGAUGAAUGUUUGUUUGAUUAUACAUGAUUCUAUAUAUAUAUA